GCCAGGUCCCCAUGAAAGUUUCCUCUGGGACAAAGUGCUUCUGAUACAAAAUGCUCUCCUUGGUGGACCCACCUACCUCUCUGCAGCUGCCCUUUCAACUUUAGCAAACACAUCCUCAUAAGCAUUUCUCAGAAGGCUGCAUCACAGCUCUUUUAGGCAAGAAAGGGGCCCAGAGCUUUGGUACCAGCCAGAGGAAGAAGAGGAGGAGGAGAAGGAGUCACAGAAGGAGCUGGAUUUGCCAGUCUUGGAGAAUGAGCCCUCACCAGGUGCCUUUUCUCCAAAGCGAAGAGUCCCAGCCUUUCUUAUCUCCUCCUGUAAGGCUGCAGAUCCAUCUGCCUGUGCCUCCCCAGCUCCACCGGGUCCUCUGCUGAUUUGGAUACAUGAGAGCUUUCAGUCACUCUCGAGAUGGAAUCGUGCUGCUUUUUUAAGUCCUGCAGAGCCAUUCAACUCAUAUGGCAAAGUUACACUGUGUGAAUUACAGCUGUGACACAGACCUAGUUAACACAGUUUGGAGACAAAGAAUUAUCUCUAGUUCAUUAAAAC
Long non-coding RNA from Gallus gallus (chicken), 543 nucleotides. The record is from Ensembl. NCBI's taxonomy places the organism in Eukaryota, Metazoa, Chordata, Aves, Galliformes, Phasianidae.